UACGGAGGAUGCAAGCGUUAUCCGGAAUGAUUGGGCGUAAAGCGUCCGCAGGUGGCUGUGUAAGUCUGCCGUUAAAGAGUGAGGCUCAACCUCAUAAAGGCAGUGGAAACUACAUGGCUAGAGUGCGUUCGGGGCAGAGGGAAUUCCUGGUGUAGCGGUGAAAUGCGUAGAGAUCAGGAAGAACACCGGUGGCGAAAGCGCUCUGCUAGGCCGCAACUGACACUGAGGGACGAAAGCUAGGGGAGCGAAUGGG
RNAcentral lists this ribosomal RNA (253 nucleotides) under uncultured bacterium. RNAcentral's name for it is "partial 16S ribosomal RNA". It matches the Rfam family "Bacterial small subunit ribosomal RNA", at positions 524 to 776 of the family's 1533-position model. The record is from RNAcentral.